UACGAAGGGGGCUAGGGUUGCUCGGAAUUACUGGGCGUAAAGCGCACGUAGGCGGAUUGUUAAGUCGGGGGUGAAAUCCUGGAGCUCAACUCCAGAACUGCCUUCGAUACUGGCGAUCUCGAGUUCGGGAGAGGUGAGUGGAACUGCGAGUGUAGAGGUGAAAUUCGUAGAUAUUCGCAAGAACACCAGUGGCGAAGGCGGCUCACUGGCCCGAUACUGACUCUGAGUUGCGAAAGCGUGUUGAGCAAACAGG
Molecule: ribosomal RNA, 253 nt
Filed under: uncultured bacterium
Lineage: Bacteria
Description: partial 16S ribosomal RNA
Rfam family: Bacterial small subunit ribosomal RNA
Source: RNAcentral